CCUACGGGAGGCAGCAGUGGGGAAUUUUCCACAAUGGGCGAAAGCCUGACGGAGUGACGCCGCGUGUGGGACGAAGGCCUUCGGGUCGUAAACCACUGUCAGUGGGAAAGAUGGGUGUCGGCGCUAAUACCGCCGGCAUCUGACGGUACCUGCAGAGGAAGCCCCGGCCAACUCUGUGCCAGCAGCCGCGGUAAGACAGAGGGGGCAAGCGUUGCUCGGAAUUACUGGGCGUAAAGGGCGCGUAGGCGGGAUGGCAAGUCGGUCGUGAAAUCCCUCGGCUCAACCGAGGAAAGUCGAUCGAUACUGCUGUUCUUGAGGAUUGCAGAGGAGACUGGAAUUCCCGGUGUAGCGGUGAAAUGUGUAGAGAUCGGGAGGAACACCGGUGGCGAAGGCGGGUCUCUGGGCAAUUCCUGACGCUGAGGCGCGAAAGCGUGGGGAGCAAACGGGAUUAGAUACCCCGGUAGUCCACGCUGUAAACGAUGAGCACUAGGUGUGGGGGGGUUCAGUCCCUUCCGUGCCGCAGCUAACGCAUUAAGUGCUCCGCCUGGGGAGUACGGCCGCAAGGUUGAAACUCAAAGGAAUUGACGG
This 588-nucleotide ribosomal RNA is filed under the name uncultured bacterium. RNAcentral describes it as "bacterial SSU rRNA". It matches the Rfam family "Bacterial small subunit ribosomal RNA", at positions 338 to 916 of the family's 1533-position model. The record is from RNAcentral.